AGAUGACUCGGCCCUCUGGAGACGACUCGUUCUCAUGGUUCCAGAGAUCUAUUUUUCUGCAUUUUUUUCUCGAGUCGACUCGGAUCAUCUUGGAGUCGACUCGGCUCUCAGAGUCCGAAAACUGUUUCUCUGUGUUUUGAGUUGAACUGCCUCGGAGUCGACUCGCACUUUGUUGGAGUCGACUCGGCUCUCAGAGUUCGAAAACUGUUUCUCUGUGUUUUGAGUUGAACUGCCUCGGAGUCGACUCGCACUUUGUUGGAGUCGACUCGGCUCUCAGAAUCCGAAAACUGAUCCUCUGUGUUUUGGCUUGAACUGCCUCGGAGUCGACUCGCACCUUG
RNAcentral lists this long non-coding RNA (338 nucleotides) under Phoenix dactylifera (date palm). RNAcentral describes it as "long non-coding RNA (PDAC_LNC008808)". Lineage: Eukaryota; Viridiplantae; Streptophyta; Magnoliopsida; Arecales; Arecaceae. The record is from RNAcentral.